This 253-nucleotide ribosomal RNA is filed under the name uncultured bacterium. RNAcentral describes it as "partial 16S ribosomal RNA". It matches the Rfam family "Bacterial small subunit ribosomal RNA", at positions 524 to 776 of the family's 1533-position model. The record is from RNAcentral.
UACGGGGGGGGCAAGCGUUGUUCGGAAUUACUGGGCGUAAAGGGCUCGUAGGCGGCCAACUAAGUCAGACGUGAAAUCCCUCGGCUUAACCGGGGAACUGCGUCUGAUACUGGAUGGCUUGAGUUUGGGAGAGGGAUGCGGAAUUCCAGGUGUAGCGGUGAAAUGCGUAGAUAUCGGAAGGAACAUCAGUGGCGAAAGCGGCUUCCUGGACCAGCACCGACGUUCAGGCACGAAAGCGUGGGGAGCAAACAGG